ACGAGUGUGUUUAGUUUUCUGUAGUGGUGCUACAAGUUAAAGUCAUGGUUAUGGUGGGUUAACGACCUCCGGAUGUUGGAUGUGGAGUUGGCAUUAGGGAGAUGAAUGGUUUUUCUGGAAAAAGCGGCAUGGUAUGUGUUGUAUGGGAUUUUCGACAUGGAUGGACCUGACCCGAAAUUUUAAGGAAGCAGAAGGAAAUUGUGAUAGGCUUGUACUUUUGAAGGCUUGGUUCUUUCGAAGUGGAUGGUUGUCUGCACUAUUGAAUGGGGGAGAUGAUGGCAUAUUGGAAAAAAUUGGCAUGGUAUGUGUGAUAUGGGAUUUUCGACAUGGAACUUACCCGAAAUUUGAAGGAAGCAGAGGGGAACUAGUGGUACAGGGAUUGUACUUUUGAAGCGGGUGGUUGCCAGCACUCCGGAACAGGAGGGAUUGAGCAACCCGUCGUACAUAUGAAAUCCGAGGGAAACUACAUUGGACUUGAAUGUUCCAAUGUAAUCCCCUCACAAAUUUGCUAAUUCUUAACCCUUUUAGAGUUAGGUUUAGGUGUCUUCAUUCGGUUACUGUACAUGCUGUAGAAUGUCUAGUGAUCUAUCCAUACAGAACUUUGUAGGUUUCUAUAGGUUUCAUUUUUCUUCUGCGUCAUGUCUUUUGUUUCCUUAGGGUUUAGAGUUAGUGUCCUUCUAAAUAUUCUAACAUUGGCUAGUCUCUUUGUUCCUUAGUUCAGCGUUGCCCCAAUAGCUGCUUAGGUAAUCUUCUUUCAUUGAACACUCUUGCCUUUCCUGUUAUAGUCUCGUUUGCCUUCUUAGUCAACGAAACGUUCUUUGCUUCUGACAACAAUCUAACCCCUUUAACUACACUCUUAUCAAAGGGUGUUCUCACCUUUCACUCUCUUUUCUGUUUUUUGAGAAAGAAAAGAGGGAAGGGGCAUUGAUUGUUCUUUCGUACUUCUGCUUCAUUGGUUUUUUGUCUUUAGGGUUGGUCAAUCUGUAGUUCUGUCCUGUAUGAUGUCCUGAGUUUGGAAGUACCUAUUAGUUCAUUGUUCUUGGAAAUGAAUGGUGCCGGUUGUGGUGUUCACAUCGUUUUCAUCCUUGGAGAUUGUUGAUCUCGCCUCACCAUCGACAAGGGUGCAAGUUGGUACAGUAUUCCGGAGGUGUGUUCGUUAGCAGUUCGUGAUGUAGUCCUUUACGCGUGUAAUAGUUCCUUGCUGAAGGCAAAUGCGGUUCCAGUACAUCAUCACUUGUGUUGAAGAAUGCAUGAUGUAUGGAAAAGCUGUUUGUCUUCCAUCGAUCCGGUGGAGCAUUGUAGCGUCGGACAUAUUUGUGGUGAACUUUUAUGUCUUCUAUUUAUGUUUCAAUGUUGAGUCUGUUCUUCUGUCGUCUAAUUUAAACUUCGAUGCUAGCUUGUUUAUCGUCAUCUUUCAUAUUCGUACGUUAAUUUUAUGGAUGUUAACAUUAUUUAUCUGUUCGAUUUAUAUGGUCUGUUCCAUUGA
Pyrus x bretschneideri (Chinese white pear) is the source of this 1486-nucleotide RNA transcript. RefSeq lists it as uncharacterized. The transcript is spliced from 2 exons. Lineage: Eukaryota; Viridiplantae; Streptophyta; Magnoliopsida; Rosales; Rosaceae. The record is from RefSeq and is a predicted model, not a curated record.